UACGUAGGUGGCAAGCGUUGUCCGGAAUUAUUGGGCGUAAAGCGCGCGCAGGCGGUUCCUUAAGUCUGAUGUGAAAGCCCACGGCUCAACCGUGGAGGGUCAUUGGAAACUGGGAGACUUGAGUGCAGAAGAGGAAAGUGGAAUUCCAUGUGUAGCGGUGAAAUGCGUAGAGAUAUGGAGGAACACCAGUGGCGAAGGCGACUUUCUGGUCUGUAACUGACACUGAGGCGCGAAAGCGUGGGGAGCAAACAGG
RNAcentral lists this ribosomal RNA (253 nucleotides) under uncultured bacterium. RNAcentral's name for it is "partial 16S ribosomal RNA". It matches the Rfam family "Bacterial small subunit ribosomal RNA", at positions 524 to 776 of the family's 1533-position model. The record is from RNAcentral.